Non-coding RNA from Vicia faba (fava bean), 324 nucleotides. NCBI's taxonomy places the organism in Eukaryota, Viridiplantae, Streptophyta, Magnoliopsida, Fabales, Fabaceae. The record is from the annotation of a GenBank genome assembly.
AGUGUCUCACGGCUCCAAGUUUUGAAUUAUUCCAACCCAUCUCACUCCUUUAUUGUUUGGCUUUUAGUUUUGUGGUUACUAAUAUUGGAUUAUUUUAUUGACUUAGACUCAACUACUAUACACUGUCGACAUACAAUUCUAAGGCCUCCCACAUUGACUUUAUUGUCUUCCAAUUUCUUGGAAAUUACAAGGAACUUGUCUCAAACUAUCACUAAGUUAACUUCAAAGUCAAAGUCAACCUUCCUCAUUCUCCUUCAUAAAUUGAUAGUGGUAAUGUUGAACUUUGAUGUUAGAUUUCUAUUAUUGAACCAAAUGGGUUAUUGA